UACGUAGGGCGCAAGCGUUAUCCGGAAUUAUUGGGCGUAAAGCGCGUGUAGGCGGCUUUGCAAGUCGGGUGUGAAAGCCCUCGGCUCAACCGAGGAAGUGCGCCCGAAACUGCAGAGCUUGAGUACCGGAGAGGAUGGCGGAAUUCCCCAAGUAGAGGUGAAAUUCGUAGAUAUGGGGAGGAACACCGGUGGCGAAGGCGGCCAUCUGGACGGAUACUGACGCUGAGACGGCGAAAAGCGUGGGUAGCAAACAGG
RNAcentral lists this ribosomal RNA (255 nucleotides) under uncultured bacterium. RNAcentral describes it as "partial 16S ribosomal RNA". It matches the Rfam family "Bacterial small subunit ribosomal RNA", at positions 524 to 776 of the family's 1533-position model. The record is from RNAcentral.